Molecule: transfer RNA, 93 nt
Filed under: Betaproteobacteria bacterium
Lineage: Bacteria; Pseudomonadati; Pseudomonadota; Betaproteobacteria
Description: tRNA-Ser
Rfam family: tRNA
About the family: Transfer RNA (tRNA) molecules are approximately 80 nucleotides in length. Their secondary structure includes four short double-helical elements and three loops (D, anti-codon, and T loops).
Source: RNAcentral
GGAGAGAUGGCCGAGUGGUCGAAGGCGCUCCCCUGCUAAGGGAGUAUAGGCUCAAAAGGCCUAUCGAGGGUUCGAAUCCCUCUCUCUCCGCCA